AGUGAACGCUGGCGGUAGGCCUAACACAUGCAAGUCGAACGGCAGCACAGGAGAGCUUGCUCUCUGGGUGGCGAGUGGCGGACGGGUGAGGAAUACAUCGGAAUCUACUCUGUCGUGGGGGAUAACGUAGGGAAACUUACGCUAAUACCGCAUACGACCUACGGGUGAAAGCAGGGGACCUUCGGUCCUUGCGCGAUUGAAUGAGCCGAUGUCGGAUUAGCUAGUUGGCGGGGUAAAGGCCCACCAAGGCGACGAUCCGUAGCUGGUCUGAGAGGAUGGUCAGCCACACUUGAACUGAGACACGGUCCAGACUCCUACGGGAGGCAGCAGUGGGGAAUAUUGGACAAUGGGCGCAAGCCUGAUCCAGCCAUACCGCGUGGGUGAAGAAGGCCUUCGGGUUGUAAAGCCCUUUUGUUGGGAAAGAAAUCCAGCUGGCUAAUACCCGGUUGGGAUGACGGUACCCAAAGAAUAAGCACCGGCUAACUUCGUGCCAGCCGCCGCCGUAA
RNAcentral lists this ribosomal RNA (506 nucleotides) under uncultured bacterium. RNAcentral describes it as "partial 16S ribosomal RNA". It matches the Rfam family "Bacterial small subunit ribosomal RNA", at positions 29 to 523 of the family's 1533-position model. The record is from RNAcentral.